GACGAACGCUGGCGGCGUGCCUAAUACAUGCAAGUAGGACGCUGAAGAGAGGAGCUUGCUCUUCUUGGAUGAGUUGCGAACGGGUGAGUACGCGUAGGUAACCUGCCUUGUAGCGGGGGAUAACUAUUGGAAACGAUAGCUAAUACCGCAUAACAAUGGAUGACACAUGUCAUUUAUUUGAAAGGGGCAAUUGCUCCACUACAAGAUGGACCUGCGUUGUAUUAGCUAGUAGGUGAGGUAACGGCUCACCUAGGCGACGAUACAUAGCCGACCUGAGAGGGUGAUCGGCCACACUGGGACUGAGACACGGCCCAGACUCCUACGGGAGGCAGCAGUAGGGAAUCUUCGGCAAUGGGGGCAACCCUGACCGAGCAACGCCGCGUGAGUGAAGAAGGUUUUCGGAUCGUAAAGCUCUGUUGUAAGUCAAGACACGAGUGUGAGAGUGGAAAGUUCACACUGUGACGGUAGCUCUACCA
This 476-nucleotide ribosomal RNA is filed under the name Streptococcus sp. oral taxon C65. RNAcentral describes it as "bacterial SSU rRNA". It matches the Rfam family "Bacterial small subunit ribosomal RNA", at positions 28 to 485 of the family's 1533-position model. The record is from RNAcentral. Lineage: Bacteria; Bacillati; Bacillota; Bacilli; Lactobacillales; Streptococcaceae.